GUGAGGACAUAAAUGGCGUA
Molecule: small nuclear RNA, 20 nt
Filed under: Arabidopsis thaliana (thale cress)
Lineage: Eukaryota; Viridiplantae; Streptophyta; Magnoliopsida; Brassicales; Brassicaceae
Description: snRNA_01194
Source: RNAcentral